GCCGUGGAAACAGGGAAGCGUUAGGCCGCCAACCGAGCAGGCACAGGUGGCCUGCGCGGAAGAAAAGCGGGCGCUCCCUUGUCCGGCUGUGGGCCGCAGCGAUCGCCCAGGACCGGGCUUCCCCACUGCUACUCGGUGUUUCGUGUUUCUGGAAUAAGCAUGCACCCCGAGGCCUCGGAGCCUGUGGCGGACCGGGCGGCGGAGCAGGACGGCGCGCAGGAGCAGGGCGUGGAGGAGUCGGCUGGCGAUCACCAGGACGCAGGCCUGGGAGCCCGCAAGGAAGAAAUUAAUGACCCUAAAGAAACGUGUAUAGGUCCUCCUGAUACAUCCUCCCAAAGCAAGCAGAAACAGAGCGGUGAUGGCAGGCCGCAUGGUCAGUUAGCACACCAAAGAGAUGACAAGGAGGAUCACAGCCCCAGAAUGACUAAAAGUUUCCUACAAAAACUCUGCCAGCAACACAAGCUUUAUAUUACCCCGGCAUUGAACGAUACACUGUAUUUACACUUCAAAGGUUUCGAUCGCAUCGAGAACUUGGAAGAGUACACGGGGUUGCGCUGUCUCUGGCUAGAGUGCAACGGCAUACAGAAAAUCGAGAACCUGGAGGCCCAGACGGAGAUGCGCUGUCUCUUCCUGCAAGUGAACCUGCUUCAUAAAAUUGAGAACCUAGAGCCUCUGCAGAAACUGGAUGCUCUUAACCUCAGCAACAAUUACAUCAAGACCAUCGAAAACCUCUCCUGCCUGCCCUUCCUGAACACACUCCAGAUGGCCCACAAUCAUUUGGAGACUGUGGAGGACAUCCAGCAUCUAAAGGAGUGUCCGAAGCUUUGCGUGGUUGACCUUUCCCACAAUAAGCUGAGUGAUCCCGAAAUCCUGAGCAUUCUGGAGAGCAUGCCUGACUUGCGUGUGCUGAAUUUGAUGGGAAACCCAGUCAUUAGAAAUAUCCCUAAUUACCGAAGGACAGUCACCGUUCGGCUAAAACAUUUAACAUACCUGGAUGACAGACCAGUUUUUCCAAAGGACAGAGCUUGUGCAGAGGCCUGGGCUCAGGGAGGGCUCAUGGCUGAGAAAGAGGAGAGGCAGCUGUGGGAAGGCAGAGAGCAGAAGAAGAUCAGAGACAGCAUCGAGGCCCUGGCGAUGAUCAGGCAGCAGAAAGAAAGGCAGGAGAGAGGGGAGGGGCCCGCGCCAGACGGGAAGGCGGACCGGGACGCCGGAGCGGCGGGGAAGGCAGGGCCUCGAGAGGACCCAGGAAGGCGGCAGAAAAUGCAGCUGUUCGUGGAGGAAGGCCUCGAGGCCAGGGACGAGCUGCUCCCGGAAAAGCCGGGUCCGGCGGAGGAGCGGCCGGCGGAUGCGCACGGAGGGGCCGAAGGGCCGGAGCCAGCGGGCGCCGCACAGCCGGCAGCCGCCCUGGAAGAAUCUACCCCCCUGAGUGUGGCCCUUGAGCAUGCAUUCGGUGCAGAACUUGAUGGAGAUGAAGAUUUGGAAACCACUAAACUGGAGAUGAAGGAGAAGCUCUUCAUCGAUGACCUACCUGACUUGGAGGAUAUUGACACAGGCGAAUCCUUGGAGGGCCAGGACAAGAUGUGUUUUCCAAAGAUUACAGCCAUCUCGAGCCUGAGUGAUGACAGUGACCCUGAGCCAGACUACACCUCACUCCAGGGGCAGGAGAACACGGGCACAGACACCCUUUCAAACAUAUUCGCCAUCUCCAAGGACACCUCACAGAAGACUGAGAUGGCCUUUGCAGACAUAUUUAAGGCAGCAGCAAAGGAUCUGGAAACUGAAGGUAGAGACACCAAGUCCCCGCGCCUGCUGAUCCAGGAACUCAACGAGGACCCCUCAGGCGAGCCCCCCACCCACCAAAGGAAUGCCACCCCAGCCCCUUCCAGCAAGGACAGGGACGGUGCCGGACUCCCAUCCUCCCCUCCAGACCAUGGCUCCUAAGGGAGGGCGAGGACCUGAUACCCCGGCUGGGAAUAUGGGACAAGGACCGGCUGAAGGAAACAGCACUGAAAAGACGGGGGUGCAGUCUGAGAUGGAGCCCGAGGCGGGAGAAGACCGAGAGGACAUCGCACUUGGCUUGGACUGAAGCCCAAGGUGGCACAGGGAGCCGGCAGCCGAGCCAGGCCUGAUCCCAGCGGGUGCGGGCCUACCCUUUAGCUGGGCUCCCUUUCCUUCCAAAGACCUGGGGUUACUUGGUUGUCACAGGCCGGCAGGCGGCUCACCUCCCCCACCCACAGCCCCUGCAGGGGCACAGCUGGUCCCCAGGUAUUGGUGGUCUGCCACCUGUAACCGCAAAUGUCCCUGAGCAUGAUAAACACUUCAGUAUCCACGA
Molecule: non-coding RNA, 2332 nt
Organism: Manis javanica (Malayan pangolin)
Lineage: Eukaryota; Metazoa; Chordata; Mammalia; Pholidota; Manidae
Source: RefSeq, a predicted model, not a curated record